RNAcentral lists this small RNA (175 nucleotides) under Streptomyces sp. Its description in RNAcentral is "c-di-AMP sequence". It matches the Rfam family "c-di-AMP riboswitch aptamer (ydaO/yuaA leader)". Rfam says of the family: This family represents a conserved RNA structure found upstream of the ydaO and yuaA genes in Bacillus subtilis and related genes in other bacteria. The ydaO/yuaA element is thought to act as a genetic "off" switch for the ydaO and yuaA genes in its native state. Lineage: Bacteria; Bacillati; Actinomycetota; Actinomycetes; Kitasatosporales; Streptomycetaceae. RNAcentral also lists the same sequence under 1 other name. The record is from RNAcentral.
GCGCGACCUCCGCCGAGUCCGGUGCGCCCACGCGGCCCACUGGAGCCGGGGACCCACCGAACCUCGGGGUGAAUCGGCCCAACCGCCCUUCGGGGCAAGGGCCGUAGGGCACACCUUCCGGAUCCGUCCGCCCGAACCCGUCAGCUAACUCGGUAGGCGGAGUACGGAAGGAGUA